This is a long non-coding RNA of Haemorhous mexicanus (house finch), 3470 nucleotides long. RefSeq lists it as uncharacterized. NCBI's taxonomy places the organism in Eukaryota, Metazoa, Chordata, Aves, Passeriformes, Fringillidae. The record is from RefSeq and is a predicted model, not a curated record. The transcript is spliced from 8 exons.
UGUGAAAUCCCAAAUUACAGCAGACAGACACAGACUAUGCAUGCAGAAAGCUCAUCUCCAACUACAACACACACAGCAGAACAUGCAGUGACAACACACACAACAAACCACUGAGACUACAAAGGCAAGUUUGCUAACAGUUACUUCACCUACUUGUCGAUAGAGCCCACCAUGUAGUAAACCAUUGGAAACCAACAGAUUGCAUCCAGAAAAUGCAUAUCUGGCCUAAGCAGCAGAUGGAAUUACAAAAUGAAACACAGUAUCACAACAGCAGCAUCUCUUCCAAAAUAUUUUAAUCAACUGGUCGUUUGGGGUUUAAAAAAACCAAAACUUUCUUAAACUUUGGCAUUAUGAUGUCAGUUAAAGCAGGAAAUAGGUUUUCAGAAAGCUGUGAAUCAACACUUUGCUGUGAUCAUAAAGAAUGAUCAGAAUUAACAUGCUUAUAUUAGUAAAUGCACCUCUAAAAUCAGAAAUGUUAUGGCACGGGACAAUUCCAAAUAUAAGAACAAAUGAGUAACGUCAAAGACACACUACCAAGUUAUUAUACUCCAAUGGAUGUCUCAGGAGGACUUAAAAUAAGCAUCAACAAUUCUUAAUUAAAAUGUAAAGUGGAAAUCAAAUCAUCAUUUGGGUUUUGUGACACCUACUGCUUUCCAGCCUACUCCCUUUCAGAGGAGUCACUGCAAAUGCUGCACAGGGAGAGACAACAGUAAGGGUGCUGGUUUAAUUAGCAAGCAGAGCUUUUACUUCACAGUAAUCAAUCAAAAGUGUGUUUAGCUAUCAAGUGUCACAGCAGCACUGAAGUGUGUGAAGUUGGGCACUGUGCUGGCAUAGGGAGCUGGCACUAGAGGGCCCCCUGUGCCCAUGGCUUUGCUCUCACAGUCAGUGCAAGUGAUUUAGCCUCAUUUAGGCUUCUCAGUUUGUGUAAUUCACUGUAUGCCAUAGUACCUACAUAAAAACCUUCUGUUUUGCCAACACAGGUGGCUAAGGAGCUGCCUGAGGGAAAGUGGGACACUUCACAGCAGGCCUUUGUAGAAAAAAAUCACUUGAACUGCAACAGAUCGACACAAAUUGAAGUGUCAGCCCUGGAAUCACAACCUACAAGACAUUUUCACCUUCUUAGCUUGUUCUACUAUUCUGUGUACAGAACAGCACAGGAAAAGUGAUGAAUCAUCUGCACCCUAAAGCAGAUCUUGUAUUUGAACCCAACUGUAGAUGCUGGCCUAAAUAUAUACAAAUGGAAGCUCAUAAAUCACAGAUGGCACAAUGAAGAUGAAAACUGUAACUUCAGUCCUCCAGAUGCACUCUACUCUCUAACAUCUAUGGUGAACUUUCUUGGCAAGUGUUUAUGUAAAAUAUCAUGUUUUAAAAGAAUACAGCACACAGCAAACAGAGACUGCUGUCCUACAACAGCCUUUUAAUCAUGUCUGUAAGAGAUUCACGUGGUGUUGUCAAGUGUUUUUACAUCAGGAGCCUUGGAGCUGGACUUGUGGACUAUUUUUGCACCUGUUGGAGACUCUGACCUUCUGCAGGACUUGUAUUGAGGAGGAUCACACAGAACUUUGUCUGCUGCAUCUUUCAGAAGUGAGCAGGGAGGAAGCAGGAUGAGAGCUCUCCCCCUCCUCAGGUCUGGGGCAUCAGUCGUGGUACAGCAGCUGGUAUAUCCAUGUGUUUGUGUACAAAAGCUCCUUAUUUGGUUCCCAAAUUUUUUGCUCAGUUAUUCUCCCAAAUUCCACUCUGAAGAAGCACUCCAGGGGAGAGAAAGAAAAAUACAGGGCUCAGGAGAGAAUGCCUCCUACUCCAUUAUGUGUAUGGAAAACUAUAUGAACCCCAUUAUCACUACAAAGAAUCACAAUAGGGAAGGGGAAGACUUGGAUUAAUUCAGCAGGCUUUGAAUCAAACUGUUCAGUUCUGUGGGACUUGGAACACAAGCUGAGCCUUUCAUCUGUCUGCACUUUGAGUGCAACUUCUUUUUGCUGCUCUCAUUGCUGCUAUUGAAACAACUGCUUCAGGACGAGCCAAGUUACCUUACUCCAGCUUCAGCAUUUUAUGGUUGCUAGCACCAUAAACAAAAAAGAACUUAGAAAAUACCAAAUAAGUAAUAUUCAGGAAGAAUGGACUUUCUUGCAGUGCUUAUCUUGCUGUGAAACUGAAACCAGUAACAAAUACAGGCUGGAGUGGUCUAAAACUUGCAAGUGACUCAAAUCAAAUGCCUCUUGUCUUAUCCCCUUUAACCACAACCAUGAGGCAUGCAGCCCUUUGGAAAACUCACAAGUGGUAUUUCCCUUCCCAGCUUAAAUUUCCAGAGACUUUGGGUAAUGGGAAACUUUCUAUUAGCCUCCCUUUUGGAAACUGUAAAUAUAGAAAGAGUGUUUAAGAUAAAAGGCUGUAGUCACAUGAGGACAGUGGUGUACAUUUCUUGCAUUUCAAGAUGCCCUGUGAGAACACUGAGUCAUCAAUGGUCUUUGUUCUCAGGGUAUUUCCCUUCAAUAUUUUGGCUGUUACAUGCACAAAUUUGGCAUCAUUGAAGCUUCUUUCAUAUGCCUAGGUGUUCUAAGUGUUGGUACCUCUGUCAGUGAGGUCACUUGCACAGGAAAGAACAAAGGCCACCAGUUACUGUCAGAUCUGUAACCUCCCUGUCAACAUUAGAAAUAGAAAAUCUGGCCAAUAAUUACAGAGAGAGCUCUGCAGCUUGCCAGCAACGUUUGCUGGAUCUGGGCUACAAAAGUAAAGCCUCUGCAUGUGUGUUCAGUUUGUCCUCAAUGUAGCUGCUACAUUCUGUGACAGCCUUAAGGCAAAGACAGUUCAACCAGGCAGUGAGCUAAAUGGAAGCAUUUGCUGUGCUGCUGCUUUGCAAGGGGAGUGUCCACCCAGCUGCUUAGAGGGGUGGCUAUAUGGGCAGACCCUAGAAAAGUGCACUGAUAUAUCCAGUCUGUCCACUCAGAACACUGCCUGCAGACUCCUGAUGAGCAGAAGGUUCACUGCAGAGUGCAAGAUAUAAAGGGGUGUAUGGAAACUGCAAUGUCAUCUAAAAUAUAGCCUGGGUUUUUUAAAUACUCAUAUGGUAUGCUUUGGCUCUUUUAUUUCAUAACAAUUGUUAUUAAAAAAACAGGAGCACACAUGAAAAUGUGUGCCACGGAAAUAAAUUUUCCUUGUUUGUAUUCCUUGUGGAAAGGUGUUUUUACUUCAGAGUCACCUCCUUGUUGACCUACAGUCUUAGGUAGAGACAAGCCUUUGGACAGUGACCAAGGAAACAACUGGCCUGUGAAAAAGAUAUAAUUAAGCACCAGACUUAAUGCUUAGGUUUGCUAAAACACCAGAAAGUGGGGAAGUGUUAAAUAGAGGUUGUGUAAUGGGGUGAAAAUUACAGGAGGUAAUCUGUGAGGAGAUAAAAGCAAUAUAUUCUGUCAUGCAUUACAGACUCCUCUACGGUUUGAGUUCCUGCUUGGAAACCCAGCAAUUCUUUUAGU